This 61-nucleotide non-coding RNA is filed under the name unclassified sequences. The record is from RNAcentral.
AUAUUAAUGUAGCCAUUCAAUAGAAUGAGAGUCCAAAGCCUCUAUAAAUACAGAUGGAUAU